Paramarasmius palmivorus is the source of this 101-nucleotide non-coding RNA. The record is from the annotation of a GenBank genome assembly. Lineage: Eukaryota; Fungi; Basidiomycota; Agaricomycetes; Agaricales; Marasmiaceae.
GGCCGACUAGCUCAGUUGGUUAGAGCGUCGUGCUAAUAUCUGUGCUUUCCGAAAUAGUAAUGUUAACGCGAAGGUCUUGGGUUCGAUCCCCACGUUGGCCA